UCAACCAUAUGUUAACCCGUGAACUUUCAAUUCCCGUGGAUGAAGUGUAUUUCUGGACUGACAGCCAGACAGUGUUAAAAUAUAUUGCAAAUGAAACCAGUCGCCAUCAAGUAUUCGUAUCUAAUCGUCUUGCCGUCAUAAGAGACGGUUCUGGUCUCGAUCAGUGGCAUUACGUUCUGUCGAAGCUUAAUCCUGCAGAUCACGCGUCGCGAGGAUUAUCAGCUGAUAGUUUGGAUUUUGUGAACUGGAUAUCAGGCCCAAAAUUUUUAAUGUGUCCCUCUGACUCGUGGCCUGUUAAUUCUUGUGAAUAUAAUGUGCCUGAAAAUAUGUGUAAUGAUAAAGAUAUAUUUGUGAAUUCUAUUAAGAUCUCUCAAUUAGCUAAAAAUAUCAUUGAUCGGUUAAUGUCUCAUUAUUCAGAGUAUAUUCGAUUAUUACGUGGUGUAUCGUGGUUAAUAUGCUUGAAGAAUAUUCUUAAAUGUAAAAUACAAAAUCGUGAUAUCCCCCAAAGUUUGUGUUGUAAAUCCUUAUCAAAUGAGGAAGUGUUAAUUGCAGAGCGUGCUUUGCUUUGCUAUGUGCAAAAAUGUGAAUUCGUGGAAGAAUUUGAAUCAUUGGAAAGCCAGUCAUCUAAUGUCAAAAUGAAAAGUUCUUUGGAAAAUUUAAAUCCAUAGAUUGUGAAUAAUCUAAUCUGUGUUGGUGGACGAUUGCAAAAUGCAUCUAUUCCAGAUACUGCUAAAAAUCAAAUAAUAUUGCCUAAAGGUCAUAUUGUGUCUCGAUUAAUCGUAAAAGAAUGUCAUAAAAAAGUCGGUCAUCAGGGCAGAAAUCACACUUGCUUAGAUCCGUCAAAAAUAGUUAAGAAUGUGUUACAUAAUUGUGUUGUGUGUAAAAGGCUAAAUUCGUGUGUCGGUCAACAGCAGAUGGCUGAUUUACCUACAUGUAGGUUCAAUCAGACCAAAAAGCAUUUUCGUGCACCGGUAUUGAAGGUUUAUGGCUCGUUGUGGUGUACCCAAAGACUUUUAUUCUGACAAUGGCUCUAAUUUUGUUAGUGCAAAUAAAGAGAUGUCAAAAAGCGUUAAAGAGUUGGAUCAAGAAACAUUUCGCAAUCUGGGUAUUCAAUUCGAGUUUAAUUGGAACUUUAACCCACCGACAGCGUCACACCAUGGCGGUGUAUGGGAAAGGAUGAUCAGAACAAUAAGAAAAGUGCUUCAAGCAAUUCUUAGUGAACAAUUUCUAAAAUCUAGCCAAAACGAAGAACAAUUGACCUUUCCGUCGACUCCGCCCACAAUAAGACUUUGACCAAUCAGCUUCGAUUACAGUUUCCCGCGAAAUGACGUCGCGUUACUACGCUUCAUCACCUUAGACAAACUUCGUGAAUUUUGACAUUUUGUCGUGUGUUCAAACGUCGUCAAUCGUGGUUAAUCAUUGCUCACACGGACAUCGUAUCAGCAAUAGCUGCUAUCCAGACAGGUUAAAGGGUGGUAUAGUGUGCUUCCCUUCCUGAAACAGUUAAAAAAAAAAAUAUGGGAUGUGUCUUCUAGGCCUAAUGGAUAAGACUGUUGUCGAAGUCACUCCCACUAGUUAAAUGUAAACAAAUGUCAAUUCUAACCGGUCAAGUGUGUUCCAAGUACUUUCUGAAGCUGUCUGGACCAAUAGAAAAUAAUCCAGAACCAUAUUCAGGUGAUCAUAAUGGAAGUAUAACAUGACAUCAAAAUUAACAAGAGCUGCAGCAAUAAAAAGACAGACAAAUUGUUGCCAGCUACAUUCCUGAAGAAGAAAAAAAAAUACCAAGAAUUAACAAAAAAUGUACAAGAAAUUUAACAUGUGAUUUCAAAAUUUCACUCUCUGCAAAGUCUGCCGCCCUUUGAUUCAGAACAUACAUUGUAAAACUGUUUUCAUAAUUAUAUCUAGUCAUUUAGAUGUAGCCUAAACACUGUACAUGUAUUUUUAAAUAAAUAGUAUUACUUACCGGUAUCUACAAUCUUGAAUUGUAUUCUUUCAUGAAAUAUCAAAAUGGUUGUGUUGAUGCUAGGGUGGCCCAUGCACCUACAGAAAUACAGUCAAUUGCUGAUAGUUCGAGACUACCACUGAAGCAUGCACAUUCGCCGUGUCGAGGCCAACUUUCUGACAGUAUGAUACUAUAAAUAGCCAUGGCACGUGCAAUUCUCUACAAAUCUAUCAACUAUUACAGCCGUAAAAAAUUUAUUGUUGACGAUUUUGAAUAGCAGUAAAAUUAAGCUUCUUGGUUAUUACAGCAGAUUUAGAAAUUACGUUCGAUUCAUUUUUUAAAUCGCUUUAUCAUUAACUGUACCGUUCAGAGCAGCAUCUUUUUGGUUUAGUACAAAUAAUAUCUCUGAAGCACUCGGGUUAGACAGGAACAUGAUACUAGCAGUAGUUUCAUUUUACUUUUACAAGCUUCUUAAAACAAUUGUUGAGCUAGCUAACGUGCUCAUUUCUAAAUUCAAUUUCUUGUUCUAGCUUUCUGUUAUGUUUCGUAAAAAAGUAGUCUUGAUUAUCCCGACCUGUCAAUCAGCCCUUGAAUGGUCGAUAGACUGGUUAAGCGAGACUAAUUUCAAAACAAGGGCACGUAACCUAUUUUUUACUCAAGAGUGUCUGGAUGUUAUGGACGACACAUGGAACCAGUUUUCAGUCUAUUAUUUAUAGAUGAUUAAUGGUCAUAGCUUAUUAAGUACAACAUGAUCGUUUAUUUAGUGACUAUAAUUGUGUGAAACUGAUUUGAGGCUUGGCAUAUAUAUAAAUAUUGUGGCGAAAUUGUCGAGAUAUAUGGAGAUAUUUAUUUAUGGUGGGUCACCCUAUCGAUGCGGUUUACUACAACAUGAUCAAUCUUGUCACCUCUUAGUCUUAGCGUUUCUUCAUGGUUGUGUUAGGGAGUGCAAUCACAAGCCCGACGGCAAGGGAGCAGUAGCCACACAUCCUACAAAUUAUAAAUCAUCAUGAUAAAAAGAAAAUCUCGCCAUGUUUUCUCUAUUUUACUAGUUGAAAGAAACAUAAUAUGGGUUGGCCUGGCCUACUAUAGACAUACCGAACCACUUAUAAAACGUGUAUAUAUUCGCGGCCUAAAGUUUUUGUAUUUCACUAUAUAGUUGAAAGUAUUACAAGUCACGACAGUAACGUAACUAGUACUACUAGUUUACUGGGCCUUAUAGGCCUUGCAACCUACAGAAUUACCCAUAUAGCCAAACUUGGUUUUCUCUAAAUUUAUAUCAAAUCCAGACCAGACUAUGCUAAACAACUAUGAUGAUCCUAAAGUUGCAGAACCGCAGAAUGUCAUACGUUAUGAUACAGUAUUUAUAAUUGUAUGUACCCCCCCCCCCUUCCUCAUUACGCUUCACACUCACUUUUAUUCCUAAACCAUUCUUACAU
Long non-coding RNA from Patella vulgata (common limpet), 3378 nucleotides. RefSeq lists it as uncharacterized. Lineage: Eukaryota; Metazoa; Mollusca; Gastropoda; Patellidae. The transcript is spliced from 3 exons. The record is from RefSeq and is a predicted model, not a curated record.